GACGAACGCUGGCGGCGUGCUUAACACAUGCAAGUCGAACGGUGAAGCUCCAGCUUGCUGGAGUGGAUCAGUGGCGAACGGGUGAGUAACACGUGAGCAACCUGCCUCUGACUCUGGAAUAAGCGCUGGAAACGGCGUCUAAUACUGGAUACGAGAAGGGUCCGCAUGGGCACUUUCUGGACAGUUUUUCGGUUGGGGAUGGGCUCGCGGCCUAUCAGCUUGUUGGUGAGGUAAUGGCUCACCAAGGCGACGACGGGUAGCCGGCCUGAGAGGGCGACCGGCCACACUGGGACUGAGACACGGCCCAGACUCCUACGGGAGGCAGCAGUGGGGAAUAUUGCACAAUGGGCGAAAGCCUGAUGCAGCGACGCCGCGUGAGGGAUGACGGCCUUCGGGUUGUAAACCUCUUUCAGCAGGGAAGAAGCGAAAGUGACGGUACCUGCAGAAGAAGCACCGGCUAACUACGUG
RNAcentral lists this ribosomal RNA (468 nucleotides) under uncultured bacterium. Its description in RNAcentral is "partial 16S ribosomal RNA". It matches the Rfam family "Bacterial small subunit ribosomal RNA", at positions 28 to 507 of the family's 1533-position model. The record is from RNAcentral.